GGGGGUAGAGCACUGUUUCGGCAAGGGGGUCAUCCCGACUUACCAACCCGAUGCAAACUGCGAAUACCGGAGAAUGUUAUCACGGGAGACACACGGCGGGUGCUAACGUCCGUCGUGAAGAGGGAAACAACCCAGACCGCCAGCUAAGGUCCCAAAGUCAUGGUUAAGUGGGAAACGAUGUGGGAAGGCCCAGACAGCCAGGAUGUUGGCUUAGAAGCAGCCAUCAUUUAAAGAAAGCGUAAUAGCUCACUGGUCGAGUCGGCCUGCGCGGAAGAUGUAACGGGGCUAAACCAUG
RNAcentral lists this ribosomal RNA (295 nucleotides) under Escherichia coli. RNAcentral describes it as "partial 23S ribosomal RNA". It matches the Rfam family "Bacterial large subunit ribosomal RNA", at positions 898 to 1191 of the family's 2925-position model. Lineage: Bacteria; Pseudomonadati; Pseudomonadota; Gammaproteobacteria; Enterobacterales; Enterobacteriaceae. The record is from RNAcentral.